RNAcentral lists this long non-coding RNA (925 nucleotides) under Pan troglodytes (chimpanzee). RNAcentral's name for it is "lncRNA (ENSPTRG00000053058.1)". The record is from RNAcentral. Lineage: Eukaryota; Metazoa; Chordata; Mammalia; Primates; Hominidae.
CUUCUUUCUCGCCUUAGAUAUAGCUGUGCCACAUAAAUUUCAUAAAAAUAAGCUCUUGGUUAGCCGGGUGUGGUGGCGCGUGCCUGUAAUCCCAGCUCCUUGGGAGGCUGAGGCAGGAGAAUUGCUUGAACCUGGGAGGCAGAGGUUGCAGUGAGCCGAGAUCACACCACUGCACUCCAGCCUGGACGACAGAGUGAGACUCCGUCUCAAAAAACAAACAAACUAACUAACUAACAAAAAAGCUCUCAGGAAAAUGGCCUGAACACAGAUCCCUCCUUUGGAUGGAGAUGCCAAAUUUGGAUCUCCAGGGCACCUCUAAUUUCUGAGGGUGGAGGCAGAGAGGCACACUAUUGGGGUCCCCGGAUAAUUUUGUGGACAUGAAGGCUGAUGUCCACUGGAGACGUCUAGUUGGCUCCUCGCUUACUAAAUUCAGCAGCUGAUGGCCCCUACUCGUUGCUGGACAGCAUAAACAUCAGGUUCUGGUAAAUAAACUCAGGCUAUCAUGCAACUGCCCAACAUGCACUUAAGCUGUGACUGACAGUUUGCUGGGGGCGGACUUAGAGUCUAGGGCCAAAGCUUUUGGGUGCAGAGACUCCAAGGUUCCAAGAUAAACAAAUCUGUCGGUGAGAGUGACCAGAGUGUUAGGUCAGUCCAAGGGUCACUUAUAGGUCAUCCUGCUGGGAGCUUGGUCUCUGCUUUGUGUUUAUGCUGGGGAGAAAAGCAGGAGGGGCCAGAGGGUUGGGUCUCCGCUGGGAAAACAUCCCUGGCCUACUCAUCAGAGCCUCUGGAAGUGGAUUGGUAUCCCCUCUGCUCCCAGGAAUCCAGUAAAAGUAGCAUCUCUUCCUCAAAGAUGAGCCAGCCGUCAUUUGAAGAGGAGGAAAGACUGGAUUGGGGAAGAAUCUGGGGCAAAAUGAAGCCAAAUUGA